GGGAAUAAUUGCGGGAAAAAUCUUUCUUAGGCGUGAUAGUCGCAAAACAGGAGAAGAUGACUAUGCAAAGUUUGUA
This 76-nucleotide transfer RNA is filed under the name Chlorobium chlorochromatii CaD3. RNAcentral describes it as "tRNA-Ala". The record is from RNAcentral. Lineage: Bacteria; Pseudomonadati; Chlorobiota; Chlorobiia; Chlorobiales; Chlorobiaceae.